RNAcentral lists this ribosomal RNA (434 nucleotides) under uncultured bacterium. RNAcentral's name for it is "partial 16S ribosomal RNA". It matches the Rfam family "Bacterial small subunit ribosomal RNA", at positions 29 to 507 of the family's 1533-position model. The record is from RNAcentral.
GCGAACGCUGGCGGCAGGCUUAACACAUGCAAGUCGAGCGGGCAUCUUCGGAUGUCAGCGGCAGACGGGUGAGUAACACGUGGGAACGUACCCUUCGGUUCGGAACAACUCUGGGAAACUGGAGCUAAUACCGGAUACGCCCUUAUGGGGAAAGGUUUAUUGCCGAAGGAUCGGCCCGCGUCUGAUUAGCUAGUUGGUGGGGUAACGGCCUACCAAGGCGACGAUCAGUAGCUGGUCUGAGAGGAUGAUCAGCCACACUGGGACUGAGACACGGCCCAGACUCCUACGGGAGGCAGCAGUGGGGAAUAUUGGACAAUGGGCGCAAGCCUGAUCCAGCCAUGCCGCGUGAGUGAUGAAGGCCUUAGGGUUGUAAAGCUCUUUUGUCCGGGACGAUAAUGACGGUACCGGAAGAAUAAGCCCCGGCUAACUUCGUG